Peromyscus californicus insignis is the source of this 9190-nucleotide long non-coding RNA. RefSeq lists it as uncharacterized. The record is from RefSeq and is a predicted model, not a curated record. NCBI's taxonomy places the organism in Eukaryota, Metazoa, Chordata, Mammalia, Rodentia, Cricetidae. The transcript is spliced from 4 exons.
UUCAAUUAGCUGCCUAUACAUGUCUUUGUGUUUGAGUCUCUAUCAGUUUUCCACAAGAAAUCAUGACCAGGCCUAACAUCAAAUUUGAAGUCCCCAGGAAGAAGAUGGGGCCCUACAACAACAACGAUUCCACAUGGACAAUAAUAAUACCACUAAGGUGACAAAACUCAUCUAUAGAUCAGCUUUGGACUACAAACUGCUCAGAGCAAUUUUGACAUGGCUAGCUAAGAUGAUCCAGUUUCACAGACUACUUGAAUAAGGAUUUGAGAUAAGCCCUGUACUUUGGAAUUAUGCACAGACGGGACAACAAAGGAUAUAGCUACCUUUCCUAGAAUUUGUCAAUUAACCCAAUUUUUUUUUUCAGAGUAAAGAUGCCUUUGCCCAUAACCAGCAGGAAGUCAUUUUAAGAAUACGAUGCCCACAUUCCCAAAGAGGUGGUGUGGGGUGGGUGGUUUUAUGGUCUUUCAAUGGGUUUGGGGUCUGGGAUAAUUUUCAUUGUUUAGGAGCAUUGGUUACAAGUUGUUGUUAAGGGUUAGGAAAAGGGCUAAGCAAAGGAGAUCAGAUUUAAAUUUCUUGUUUAAAAUAUAUAUAUAGAAUAGAAUAGAGGGAAGAUUAUUGAAUCUGCUCUGAAAAGUAAAGAAAAGAUAUAGAUACAAUAUAGAUAUAAAGAUAGAUUAUUGAAUCUACUUUUAAAAGACAAUUACUAGUUUUAAAUACUUUACAAUGGGUUGGAUUUUUGUAUAUUGUAUACAAAUUAUAUGUAUUGAGAUUGUUAGAAAAUGCUGUAUGUAUUUUGUCUAAUCUUGUUCAGAAUAUUGCACUUAUACAGUUCAUUUAACAAUGUAAUGCAAUUUGCUAAUCCUUAAAUUAUUGAUAUUAUUACCAACUUUAUAUUAGGAUAUAAAGAACUGAAAGUUAGUAGACAUUAGUUAGUUAGACAUUACAAACCAACUGGGAGUCAUAUUAGGUAUGUUUUCAAGGUAGAGCAGAUAUAUUUUAGAUAGACAGGUCAUCUUCAAACUCUUCAGAGAUCUGCAGAAUGUGGCAUUUAAAAUGUUUUAAUAACUUAGAAAUUUUUUUCUUUUUUUAUGACUAUGAGACAUGUCAGCUCCUGGCAGUACCAGUCUACUUCCAAGAAAAUAUGGGCAUUGAGGAAACUGCAUAUGGAGUUAACUUUCAUUGUGGCAAAAGUUAGCCACUGGACAACAAAGUAUCCUCGAAUUGACUGCUGACAAACAGAACAAAGUGGACAGACAGGACACGAAACAAAGGACUACUGAUUCUUGCCAAGACAAGUGAGGUUGUCGUUUUAGCAACAGGCAUACUCUGAGGCCAGGACAAUAUGGCACCAUCCCUGAAGUGGCCUUCGCAAUUCGGAAAAGAUUCCACAAAGUAAGGAGAAAAAUGGCGAAAGACUGUGGAGAAAAUAGUGAAGUCAGAGGGAAUAAGAAACAAGCUUCACUAAAAAGAACUCCAUCAGAGCCUGUGAGAUGGCUAGAACAAUCAUUAGUGCUUGAAAAAGACCUCUUUGACAGGAUAAAGGAUAUUCAAGAGGUGGGAGCAAUUUGUUUUGAGGACCAUAGGGGCUGCAGGAUCAGGCAGAGAAGAGUUGAAAGCUCAGUACAAGGGAACAGGUCACAGUGGUUUAAGGAAGAGAGAACUACCAUCGAAGGGCAGCAGGUCAGUUUGAGUCUGAGUGUUUGAGUCUGUUUCUACUGCAAGUAGUCUUCUGUGUUUCUAGUUGUCGCUUUCCUCACCUAGGUCUAUGUGAUUAUAAACUGUCCUAUUUGCAUGCCAUAAAAUGCAGCCCAUUGCUUGCUUUGUUUAUACAGGGCCCAAGAGAAUCCUUAUUACAAAGGCUGUCUCAGCAGCAAAUAGAAUGAUUCCAAAUGCAGAAGCUAGACAGAUAAUAAUUGAAUCUUUACCUUUUGAGAAUGUGAAUGCAGCAUGCAAAAGAAUAAUCUGGCCAUUAAAGGCAUGAUUAGUACCCUUGGAGGAUUGGAUCAAGGACACGAUUAAUAUUGAGUCUCAUGACCAUGAUGAUAAGUGGAUAGGAGAGGUUAUAUCAAAAGCUUUGAGGAAAGAUGGCAGAUGUUUUGGUUGUGGUAAACAAGGUCAUUUGAAAAGGGAAUGUAAACAGGGUGUUCCUAGAAAGAAUGUUUAUUCAAGGAACAAUGACAAUAGAAUGCCCCUCCCUUCUGGAGUAUGCAGAAAGUGUUGUAAGGGUAAAUAUUGGACCAACAAAUGUAGAUCAAGAAGGGAUAGACAAGGUAAUCCUUUGCCUCUGACCUCAGGAAACUCCCAAAGGGACCUCAUGCAAGUCCCCACAGCAAAUUCAGUUCAGACCUUUCCUGCCAUCAUAGAAAAAAAAAACACUUGUCAGAUCAAUUAAAUAACCAAAUGCCUUUUGGAAUAAACCAGGCUGCUUGGGGUGAUAGAACAGCUGUAGCAGAGAGAACAGGAAAUUCAGGAGAAACCAUAAGGCAAAUUUUCUAUACAUGAACAAAGUCAAAAACUUCUAUACUAGAACAAAGACAAAACUUAACAGGAAUAAAUGGUGUUCUCUCAGAAGGUUUGGUAGAUAUAGGUGCAGAUGUUACAAUAAUUGCACCAGAAUCUUGGCAUCCAAAUUGGCCUCUCCAGGAGAUAAAUGUUCAGAUUUUAGGGAUUGAAAUAUUAUCUCAAGUGAAACAGAGUGCAAGAUGGGUCAAAUAUAUAGGGCCAGAAGGACAGAAAGGAAAAUUAAAGCCAUAUGUGGCUAACAUAGCUAUGAACCUGUGGGGUCGAGACUUGAUGCAACAAAGGAAUACUCAGAUUAAUAUCCCUCCAAUCUCAGAAACAAAACAUAGCACAUGUUUCUGAGAGAAAUAUUAGAAGGCAUUAUUCUGAGUGGUCACCAGCCAUCCAUAUUAUAAAAGAACAGGGCACAACAACUGAUGAUCUCCCAAAGACACCAACAGCUCUACCUUUAAAAUGGUUAACAGACAAGCCUGUAUGGGUUCAGCAAUGGCCUUUAACAACAGAGAAACUUGAGGCUUUAGAAGAGCUGGUAGAAGAACAGUUAAAUACUCAGCAUAUUGAAGAAUCAAGCAGCCCUUGGAAUUCUCCUGUAUUUGUUAUUCAAAAGAAAUCUGGUAAAUGGACAAUGGUAACAGACCUUAGAGCAAUUAACAAAGUAAUUCAGCCAAUGGGCUCUCUACAAUCUGGAAUUCCUUUGCCUACUAUGUUACCAAAAGGAUGGCCUCUCAUAGUUAUUGAUUUAAAAGACUGUUUCUUUUCAAUACCCUUACAAGAAAAAGACAGAGAAAGAUUUGCUUUCACAGUGCCUACUUAUAAUAAUUCUCAACCAGUUAAGAGAUAUCAAUAAGGGUUCUCCCACAGGGAAUGUUGAAUAGCCCAACUCUGUGCCAAUAUUUUGUACAACAGCCAUUGGAAGUAAUACAAUAAAAAAUUCCUAAAUCUGUAAUUUAUCAUUAUAUUGACAAUAUUUUAUAAGCUGAUUCAAAUGCAGAUACUUUAGAAAGAAUAUUUGAAGAAGUAAAGACAAUUUUGGCUUGUUGAGGAUUACAAAUUGCUCCUGAAAAGAUACAAAGAGGAGAGUCUAUUAGUUAUUUAGGAUACAAAGUAGGUCUACAAAAAACUAGACCUCAAAAGGUAUAAAUUAGGAGAGAUCAAUUACAGACUUUUAAUGAUGUUCAAAGAUUAUUUGGAGACAUUUCCAAUCUACAAACUAUUGUUGGGGUAAAAAAUGAUGAACUGAGUAAAUUGUUCAAAACCUUAGAAGGUGACAAGGACUUAAAUAGUCCAAGAGAAUUAUCAGGUGAAGCUGAGAGAGAAUUGGCCUUGGGGGAAAAGAAAGUACAGGAAGGAUAUGUGGAUCAUGGGGAUCUAAAGCUUAAUUGCAUUUUGGUUAUUUUACCCUCUAGGCAUUCUCCUACAGGAAUUUUAAUUCAGAGGAAGAUAUUAUAUUGGAAUGGAUAUUUCUACCAAAUAAAUAAAAUAAAAAAUUAAAAACUUAUGUGGAAAAGAUCUCUGGCUUGAUUUUAAAAGGAAAAUUAAGACUUCAUCAGUUAGCAGGAAUAGACCCAGAAGAAAUUGUUGUAUCUUUAACUAAGGAGGAUAUUGACAAGUUAUGGGCAGAAAGCUAACAUUGGUAAAGAGCUUGCAGUAAUCUUUUGGAAGAAAUUAACAGCAAAUAUCCCAAAAGCAAUAGAAUUGAACUUAUAAAGAGAGCUGGUUGGAUUUUGCCUCAAAUUGUACGGGAAACACCCAUAUCUGGAGCUUGUACAUUUUAUACAGAUGCCAACAAACAAGGAAAGGCAGGUUACAAAUCAGAAAAUUUAAGUAAAGUGGUUCAAAAUCCAUAUAAUUUGGUUCAAAAAUUGGAAUUGUAUGCUAUUCUGUUGGUAUUAAUGGAUUUUUCAGAACCUCUCAACAUAGUUACUGAUUCUCAGUAUGCUGAAAGAGUGAUAUUACAUAUCAAGACUGAAUAACUUAUCCCUGAUGAGUCAGAAUUAACUUCACUAUUUAUUCAGUUACAAGAUACAAUCUGGAACAGGAAGCAUCCCUUAUAUAUAACUCACAUCCAAUCCCAUACGGGUCUGUCAGGCCCUCUAGCACAAGGUUAUGAUGAGACUGAUAAAUUAUUGAUAGGAAAUGUACUGGAGGCAUCAGAAUUUCAUUAAAAACAUUGUGUCAAUAGUAAAGGUUUAAAAAAGGAUUUUUUCAUAACCUAGCAACAAGCCAAGGAAAUUGUAAGGAAAUGUCCUACUUGUUCGUUUUAUAAUCAGACUCCAUUACCAGCAGGAUGUAAUGCAAAGGGUACUCAGAGGAAUGAAAUCUGGCAGAUGGAUGUGUUUCACUUUGCAGAAUUUAGAAAAUUGAAAUAUGUACACCACACCAUUGAUACUUACUCAGGAUUUCAAUAGGCAACUGUUUUGAGCUCUGAAAAAGCUGAUUCUGUAAUCACUCAUUUGCUAGAAGUUAUGGACAUUACAGGUAUGCCUGCACAAAUUAAAACUGACAGUGCUCCAGCAUAUGUCUCUGGUAAAAUGAAAUAGUUUUUUGCUCAUUACAAUAUAAAGCAUAUUACAAGUAUACCACAUAAUCCUACAGGCCAAGCAGUUAUAGAAAGAUCAAACAGAACUCUAAAGGAUAUGCUAAAUAAACAGAAAGGCAUAACAAAACCCCCAGAAAUAGACUGCAUAAUGCUUUAUUAACUUUGAAUUUUCUCAGUGCUAAUGAGAAAGGAACAACAGCUGCAGAGAGACAUUGGAUAAUAGAAAAAAAACUACAGGAUUAAAUCAGCCUAUAUAAUUUAAGGAUGUGCUGACCUCAGAAUGGAAACCAGGAUAUGUGUUACUUUGGGAACAAGGUUUUGCUUUUGUUUCUACAGGAGAAGAUAAGCUGUGGGUACCAUCAAAAUUGAUAAAGAGAGUCCUCUUAAUUAGAAGAGGUUAUAGUUCUUCAACUAGCAUGACCAUCCAAUUUAACCUAACUUAUACCAUUAACACAUGUCUUUUCAUUUAAUCAGAUAUAACUUGCCAAAAGGGAACCUCCCCAAAAUUAGUCUUGGGGAAAGGUUUUUGUUUUUGUCUUUUAGGAGAAUGAAGGCUAAGGAAUUUGAAGAACACUGGACAAAUGAGACAUCUGAAGAAAAAGGACAAAUCAUCUAGAAAAAAAAAGUCCCAAGAAAAAUUGGUAUAUCACAUAAAAUUUUUUGUCUUCCUAAAUGUUUUUUUUCUACUCUUCUCUAAAGACAAUUAACACAAAUGUUCUUUUUGUAGUCCCAGUUCAAUUAAAAAGUAAAGCUGGCUUUGGAGUUGGAGAAUGGCUCUCUCCUUCUUUAAACCCAAGUAUGUUGUUAAAAGAAAAAUGCAAAAUCUCUGUAUCAUGCCAGAAGAAAAGAGCCAUCUUCUGAUGUAAGACAGAAGAAAACGAAAAAAAUUAAGGGACUAUUGUAUUGCUACUAAUCUCAAUUCUUUGGUUCUAUUUUGAUUCUUUACACUUUUAUAAGGUAUGAAUUUUAGAUCAAAAUUUAUAAGAUUAAUAUAUGUAUAUAUUUUAAACUUUUGUUAUGAUAUUAAUGGUCAUAUAGAGUACUGACUAAUUCUAGAACAAAAGGCUUCAGUUAGCUGCCUAUACAUGUCUUUGUGUUUGAGUCUCUAUCAGUUUUCUGCAGGGAAUCAUGACCAGGCCUAUCAUUGAAUUUGAAGUCUCCAGAAAGAUGAUGGGACCCUACAAGGAUGAUUCCACAUGGACAAUAAUUAUACCACUAAGCUGACAAACAUCACCUACAGAUCAGCUUUGGACUACAAACUGCUCAGAACAAUUACAAGUUGGCUAGCUGAUAUGAUCCAGUUUCACAGACUACUUGAACGAAGACUUGAGAUAAGACCUGAACUUUGGCAUUAUGCAGAGACUGGACAACAAAUGAUAGAGCAACCUUUCCUAGAACUUGACAAUUAACCCAAGAUUUUUCUUUCAGAAUCCCCUAAAGAUGCCUUCACCUACAACUAGCAAUAAGCAAUUUUAAGAACCCAAUGCCCACAUUCCCAAAGAGGUGGUGUGGGAUGGGUGGUUUUUGGUCGUUCAAUGGGUUUUUCAUUUGGGAUAAUUUUCAUUGUUCUGGAGGGUUGGUUACAAGUUGUUGUUAAUGGUUAGGAAAAGGGCUAAACAAAGGAGAUUAGAUUUAAGGUUCUUGUUUGAAAAAAAAAGAAGAUAUAAAGAAAUGAUAGAAUAUAGGGUAGAUUAUUGAAUCUACUCUGAAAAGAAAAGAGAGGAUAUAGAUAUGAUAGAGAUAAAAAGGUAGAUUAUGGUGAUAUUUUAUUUGUAUUAAAAUGUUAUUUGUAUGUUAAUAAAUAAAGUUGCCCGGGGGUCAGAGCUAUUAGCAAGCCAUAGGAAAGCAGGGCAGUGGUAGCGUACGCUUGUAAUUCUAGCACUUGGUAGGCAGAGCUGGGUAAGUCUCUGUGUGUUCAGGGAUACAGCCAUUAUUGGAUACACAUGCUUUUAAUCUUAAUACCAAUCAUGGAAAACCUGGAGGCCUAUACAGACUGGCCGUGAGGAGGCGGUCAUGUGGUUGGGUUUACAACCAAUGAGAAGGCAGGACAGGAACUCUAUAUAAAGACUUUAACACAGGGGUAGCUCUGGUUCGGAGAGGUAGGACCACCGCAGGAGGAAGGGUAAGGUUUUGGCUCUUAGCUCUGACCUCUUGGCUUUCUUCUUUGCAUUGGUUCUGUGUUUCUUAUUUAAUAAGAAGGUUGGAUACAUCUACAGUAGAUUAUUGAAUCUACUUUUAAAAGACAAUUACUAGUGUUGAAUACUUUACAUUGGAUUAGAUUUUGUAUAUUGUAUACAAAUUAUGUGCAUUGAGAUUGAUAUUGUUAGAAAAUGCUGUAUGCAUUUUUUCUAAUCUUGUUCAGAAUAUUGUACUUAUUCAGUUCAUUUAACAAUGUAAUGCAAUUUGCUAAUCCUUGAAUGUUAUUAUUACCAACUAUUAGGAUAUAAAGAAAUGAAAGUUAGUAGUUAGACAUUACAAUCAAAAUUUUAGUCAUAUUAGGUAUGUUUUCAAGGCUAAGCAGAGAUAUAUUUUAGACAGACAGGUCAUCUUCAAACCCUUCAGAGAUCUACAGAAUGUGGCAUUUAAAAUAUUUUAAUAACUUAGAUUUUUUAUGACUAUGGGACAUGUCAGCUCCUGGCAGCACCAAUCUACUUCAGAGAAGAUAUGGACAUUGAAGAAACUGCAUAGGAAAUUAACUUUUAUUAUGGCAAAAGUUAGCCAUUGGGCAACAAAAUGCCCUUGCCUUGACUGCUGACAAACAGGACAAAAUGGACAGACAGGACACAAAACAAAGGACUGCCAAUCCUUGCCAAGACAAGUGUGGUUGUGGCUUUAGCAACAGGCAUCCUCUGAGGCCAGGACAAUAUGUCACCAUUGUUGAAGUGGCCUUUGCAAUCUGAAAAAGGUACAAUGCCCCUUUCUUCAAAGGCAACUGAACAGGCAGUGGACCAAUGGCUUCUGGAAUCUAACCUCUCCAUAGUAGACUGGCAUUUAAUAAAAGAGUUGAAGCCAGCCACAAGCUGAGAAGAAUGGACAUCUGAAUUCCAAAAACACCAACAAUUUCCAGAAUUUAAAAUCCUGAAUCAGGACACUGGUGGAAUGCAAGUUUAUCUGGUACAUGGACUACUCUCACCAAUUGUGAGGUUGAAUUGUAGGCCUUGUGUACAUCCUACUUCACAAAUGAGUCUGUCAGAUAUACUAAGCCUAUAGGCUGAAGAUGAUGCCCCAACAUUGCGGAGAAACCUCGAGUGACUGUCCAGGCAGCUGGCUGUUUCUGUCAACUCACAUUUUUUGGAAGCUGCUUGUUUGCACUUCCUGUUUUACUAGGUAAUAUUAUUUCCUUCUUAGGUCUCUUAGGGAGUUGAAGAUUAGAUAGUUAUAGUUAGUUGAAGAUUAGAUAGUUACAGUUAUAGUUUUCCUUGUUAAGAAUUUCAGAAAAGAAACUAAAGAGGUGUAAAGUGUAUAAAUUUGAAAGACAUUAUAAGAUAGUUCUCUGUUAGUAAUAUGUUAGGAUAGAAAGUGAUUCAGGUACAUUUUGGAUUUACCAAAAUAGGAUAGAUAAUGGAAUAUUAUCUCUGUUUGUCAAAUGCAAAUGGACUAGACAUUGUUAAGGUAUUUAUUGCUUGUAUAUACUGUAUAUAGUUAUUGUACUUAUUGUAUAUAGUUUUUAUUAUAUUAGUUAUUACUUUUUAUUUUUUAUUAGAAAAAGGGGGUAAUAUGGUGAUAUUUUAUUUGUCCUGAAAUGGGUUAUUUUAUUUGUAUGUUAAUAAAUAAAGUUUGCCUGGAGAUCAAAAGUCAUAGUCAGCCAUAAUCAGAAGUCUGGCGGUGGUAGCACAUGCCCUUAUUCUGAUCACAUGGCAAGCAGAGUCUCUGUGUGUUCAAAGACACAGCCAAGCAUGGUGACACACACUUUUAAUCCCAAUGCUAACCAUAGAGACCUGGAGGUCUGUAUAGACAGGCAGUGAUGAAGAAGUGAUGUGGCUGGGCUUAGAGCCAAUGAGAAGGCAGAACAGGAAGGCAAUAAAGGCAAAGGUUAGACAGGAAGAGGAUCUCUUGGGAAGCUAUGGUGAUGUGGUGAGCUAAGGUUAGUUGGCAGCUAUUGCUCUGAUCUCUAAGGCUUUAACCUCUGUA